CAGCCCUAAACGGUGCGCGUUAGGUGUAUCGGUGACCACGAGUCACCGAGGUGCCGAAGGGAAACCGUGAAACGUGCCGCCUGGGAAGUACGGUCGCAAGGCUGAAACUUAAAGGAAUUGGCGGGGGGAGGCACCACAACGGGUGGAGCCUGCGGUUUAAUUGGACUCAACGCCGGGAAUCUCACCGGAUAAGACAGCGGAAUGAUUGCCGGGCUGAAGACUCUGCAUGACUAGCUGAGAGGAGGUGCAUGGCGUAGACGUCU
RNAcentral lists this ribosomal RNA (263 nucleotides) under uncultured archaeon. Its description in RNAcentral is "partial 16S ribosomal RNA". It matches the Rfam family "Archaeal small subunit ribosomal RNA", at positions 748 to 1009 of the family's 1478-position model. The record is from RNAcentral.